Molecule: ribosomal RNA, 422 nt
Filed under: Cardioglossa melanogaster (Amiet's long-fingered frog)
Lineage: Eukaryota; Metazoa; Chordata; Amphibia; Anura; Arthroleptidae
Description: partial 16S ribosomal RNA
Rfam family: Bacterial large subunit ribosomal RNA
Source: RNAcentral
AAGACUAUACUGUCUCCUUUUUAUAAUCAGUGAAACUGAUCUUCCCGUGAAGAAGCGGGAAUUAUUAUAUCAGACGAGAAGACCCCAUGGAGCUUUAAGUCAAACACCAACUGCUAUACUAAAUCACUAUAACUUUGGCAGAUCUGACUGUUAACUUUCGGUUGGGGUGACCACGGAGUAAAAUAAAACCUCCACAAUGAAUGAACCAAAUCCUAAUUCAAGAAUUACACUUCUAAAAAUCAAGACGUUGUCUUUUAUUGACCCAAGCCUUUGAUCAAUGAACCAAGUUACCCUGGGGAUAACAGCGCAAUCCAUUUCAAGAGCCCCUAUCGACAAAUGGGUUUACGACCUCGAUGUUGGAUCAGGGUAUCCUGGUGGUGCAACCGCUACUAAAGGUUCGUUUGUUCAACGAUUAAAACCCU